RNAcentral lists this ribosomal RNA (486 nucleotides) under uncultured bacterium. RNAcentral's name for it is "partial 16S ribosomal RNA". It matches the Rfam family "Bacterial small subunit ribosomal RNA", at positions 30 to 507 of the family's 1533-position model. The record is from RNAcentral.
AUUGAACGCUGGCGGCAUGCCUUACACAUGCAAGUCGAACGGCAGCACGGGUGCUUGCACCUGGUGGCGAGUGGCGAACGGGUGAGUAAUACAUCGGAACAUGUCCUGUAGUGGGGGAUAGCCCGGCGAAAGCCGGAUUAAUACCGCAUACGAUCUACGGAUGAAAGCGGGAGACCUUCGGGCCUCGCGCUAUAGGGUUGGCCGAUAGCUGAUUAGCUAGUUGGUGGGGUAAAGGCCUACCAAGGCGACGAUCAGUAGCUGGUCUGAGAGGACGACCAGCCACACUGGGACUGAGACACGGCCCAGACUCCUACGGGAGGCAGCAGUGGGGAAUUUUGGACAAUGGGCGAAAGCCUGAUCCAGCAAUGCCGCGUGUGUGAAGAAGGCCUUCGGGUUGUAAAGCACUUUUGUCCGGAAAGAAAUCCUUGGCUCUAAUACAGUCGGGGGAUGACGGUACCGGAAGAAUAAGCACCGGCUAACUACGUG